UGUGUAUUUCCGCGGCUUCCUUCAGGUGUGAUCGCCACUAGCAAGUCUGCCCAGGAGAGCCGAGACUGACUUCCUCCCUCCCUUCACCUCCCUGUGCCUCUUGAAUUAAGUUCUCCUUUGUCUUUGGGAAAAGCAAAGCCAGAAAGACUCCCUCUCAUCUCCUUCCUCACUCCCUGGACAAAGGAGCCCAAAGGACGCAGGUGUGGGGAGAGAAGGGAAGGAAAGGGCAAAUACCCCGGAAUAUUACCCAAUGCAAUAAAGUGACAGAUAACAUGCUCUCAUUCCCUCCCAAGCACCUGGGCCUUACCUACUGUAAUCACACGCGUCUAACGGUCAGGGAAAAUUGUGGUUCAAACAGGCAAGGUCUCCAGCCCAAGGUCACACAGCCCGUACCAGGUAGAUCCUGCCCGUGGUUUCCUCCUGUCUUCGUGAGUACAUAUAGAGGUACUUAUGGUCCACCUCAAGUAAUUUGCUGGCUUCCAAAUAACAUGAAAUGUGAGAAAGAAGGAAGAAUAAUUUUUAGAGCCCAAAAUAGGUUGUUGGGUAUUUAAAAUAGUUAACAUACGUGUUUUAAUAUGACCUCCACGAAGAGAAUUUACUAUGAAAAA
Molecule: long non-coding RNA, 608 nt
Filed under: Marmota monax (woodchuck)
Lineage: Eukaryota; Metazoa; Chordata; Mammalia; Rodentia; Sciuridae
Source: RNAcentral